RNAcentral lists this transfer RNA (60 nucleotides) under Phytophthora pseudosyringae. RNAcentral's name for it is "partial tRNA-Tyr". Lineage: Eukaryota; Oomycota; Peronosporomycetes; Peronosporales; Peronosporaceae. The record is from RNAcentral.
GAGAAAUGGCUGAGUGGUUAAAAGCGGCAGACUGUAAAUUUGUUGAAAUAAUUUCUACGU